CGUACGCUUCUUUUUCCACCGGAGCUUGCUCCACCGGAAAAAGAAGAGUGGCGAACGGGUGAGUAACACGUGGGUAACCUGCCCAUCAGAAGGGGAUAACACUUGGAAACAGGUGCUAAUACCGUAUAACAAUCGAAACCGCAUGGUUUUGAUUUGAAAGGCGCUUUCGGGUGUCGCUGAUGGAUGGACCCGCGGUGCAUUAGCUAGUUGGUGAGGUAACGGCUCACCAAGGCCACGAUGCAUAGCCGACCUGAGAGGGUGAUCGGCCACAUUGGGACUGAGACACGGCCCAAACUCCUACGGGAGGCAGCAGUAGGGAAUCUUCGGCAAUGGACGAAAGUCUGACCGAGCAACGCCGCGUGAGUGAAGAAGGUUUUCGGAUCGUAAAACUCUGUUGUUAGAGAAGAACAAGGAUGAGAGUAACUGUUCAUCCCUUGACGGUAUCUAACCAGAAAGCCACGGCUAACUACGUGCCAGCAGCCGCGGUAAUACGUAGGUGGCAAGCGUUGUCCGGAUUUAUUGGGCGUAAAGCGAGCGCAGGCGGUUUCUUAAGUCUGAUGUGAAAGCCCCCGGCUCAACCGGGGAGGGUCAUUGGAAACUGGGAGACUUGAGUGCAGAAGAGGAGAGUGGAAUUCCAUGUGUAGCGGUGAAAUGCGUAGAUAUAUGGAGGAACACCAGUGGCGAAGGCGGCUCUCUGGUCUGUAACUGACGCUGAGGCUCGAAAGCGUGGGGAGCAAACAGGAUUAGAUACCCUGGUAGUCCACGCCGUAAACGAUGAGUGCUAAGUGUUGGAGGGUUUCCGCCCUUCAGUGCUGCAGCUAACGCAUUAAGCACUCCGCCUGGGGAGUACGACCGCAAGGUUGAAACUCAAAGGAAUUGACGGGGGCCCGCACAAGCGGUGGAGCAUGUGGUUUAAUUCGAAGCAACGCGAAGAACCUUACCAGGUCUUGACAUCCUUUGACCACUCUAGAGAUAGAGCUUCCCCUUCGGGGGCAAAGUGACAGGUGGUGCAUGGUUGUCGUCAGCUCGUGUCGUGAGAUGUUGGGUUAAGUCCCGCAACGAGCGCAACCCUUAUUGUUAGUUGCCAUCAUUCAGUUGGGCACUCUAGCAAGACUGCCGGUGACAAACCGGAGGAAGGUGGGGAUGACGUCAAAUCAUCAUGCCCCUUAUGACCUGGGCUACACACGUGCUACAAUGGGAAGUACAACGAGUCGCGAAGUCGCGAGGCUAAGCUAAUCUCUUAAAGCUUCUCUCAGUUCGGAUUGUAGGCUGCAACUCGCCUACAUGAAGCCGGAAUCGCUAGUAAUCGCGGAUCAGCACGCCGCGGUGAAUACGUUCCCGGGCCUUGUACACACCGCCCGUCACACCACGAGAGUUUUAACACCCGAAGUCGGUGAGGUAACCUUUGGAGCCA
This 1414-nucleotide ribosomal RNA is filed under the name Enterococcus durans. RNAcentral's name for it is "bacterial SSU rRNA". It matches the Rfam family "Bacterial small subunit ribosomal RNA". Lineage: Bacteria; Bacillati; Bacillota; Bacilli; Lactobacillales; Enterococcaceae. The record is from RNAcentral.